ACGGUGUUCCGCUGCCGUGUUUGCGCGGGUAUGAGCAUUUG
This is a non-coding RNA of Domibacillus enclensis, 41 nucleotides long. Lineage: Bacteria; Bacillati; Bacillota; Bacilli; Caryophanales; Bacillaceae. The record is from Rfam.